RNAcentral lists this ribosomal RNA (1028 nucleotides) under Neomassariosphaeria sp. RNAcentral describes it as "SSU rRNA". It matches the Rfam family "Eukaryotic small subunit ribosomal RNA", at positions 68 to 1105 of the family's 1831-position model. The record is from RNAcentral. Lineage: Eukaryota; Fungi; Ascomycota; Dothideomycetes; Pleosporales; Amniculicolaceae.
AGCAAUUAUACCGUGAAACUGCGAAUGGCUCAUUAAAUCAGUUAUCGUUUAUUUGAUAGUACCUUACUACUUGGAUAACCGUGGUAAUUCUAGAGCUAAUACAUGCUAAAAACCCCGACUCCGGAAGGGGUGUAUUUAUUAGAUAAAAAGCCAAUGCCCUUUGGGGCUCUUUGGUGAUUCAUAGUAACUUAACGGAUCGCAUGGCCUUGCGCCGGCGACGGUUCAUUCAAAUUUCUGCCCUAUCAACUUUCGAUGGUAAGGUAUUGGCUUACCAUGGUUUCAACGGGUAACGGGGAAUUAGGGUUCGAUUCCGGAGAGGGAGCCUGAGAAACGGCUACCACAUCCAAGGAAGGCAGCAGGCGCGCAAAUUACCCAAUCCCGACACGGGGAGGUAGUGACAAUAAAUACUGAUACAGGGCUCUUUUGGGUCUUGUAAUCGGAAUGAGUACAAUUUAAACCCCUUAACGAGGAACAAUUGGAGGGCAAGUCUGGUGCCAGCAGCCGCGGUAAUUCCAGCUCCAAUAGCGUAUAUUAAAGUUGUUGCAGUUAAAAAGCUCGUAGUUGAACCUUGGGCCUGGCUGGCUGGUCCGCCUCACCGCGUGUACUGGUCCGGCCGGGCCUUUCCUUCUGGAGAGCCCCAUGCCCUUCACUGGGUGUGUGGGGGAACCAGGACUUUUACUGUGAAAAAAUUAGAGUGUUCAAAGCAGGCCUUUGCUCGAAUACGUUAGCAUGGAAUAAUAGAAUAGGACGUGCGGUCCUAUUUUGUUGGUUUCUAGGACCGCCGUAAUGAUUAAUAGGGAUAGUCGGGGGCAUCAGUAUUCAAUUGUCAGAGGUGAAAUUCUUGGAUUUAUUGAAGACUAACUACUGCGAAAGCAUUUGCCAAGGAUGUUUUCAUUAAUCAGUGAACGAAAGUUAGGGGAUCGAAGACGAUCAGAUACCGUCGUAGUCUUAACCGUAAACUAUGCCGACUAGGGAUCGGGCGAUGUUUCUAUUUUGACUCGCUCGGCACCUUACGAGAAAUCAAAGUU